Long non-coding RNA from Cavia porcellus (domestic guinea pig), 18516 nucleotides. RefSeq lists it as uncharacterized. NCBI's taxonomy places the organism in Eukaryota, Metazoa, Chordata, Mammalia, Rodentia, Caviidae. The transcript is spliced from 2 exons. The record is from RefSeq and is a predicted model, not a curated record.
UUGCAUGUGGCCACGGGCCCUUUCCUGGCACUCACUUGUGUGGGACCACUGCCUUGCGUGGCACUUGUUUUGUGGGAGCUCUGGGGCUGAGACUGCACUCUUGUGACCCUCGGGGACAGUAAGCUGAAUCGUUCACAGCAAUAGGACAUUGCAAACCAGCAUGUCACUGGAAAAGCCCUUGGGAGACCUGGGGCGGUCAGCUCAGCCGGGCCCUAUGCUGUGCGUCACCAGCCGUGUCCAUGGUCCUCAGUGCACAACAGGCUUUACCCAUGUUUGCUGUAGGGACUUCUAAGUGUCAGUGAGAAAACAGCAGUCCGGCAGCACGGGACACCAGGCGUGCUGUGUCCUAGAGAGAGGGAGGAGUGCGCCAGGUGUCCCCAGGUCUCCUCUUCAGGGCUCUGUCCCCAGCCCGCUACUGAGGGAGCCGGGCGUCCAGCUCCUCGCUGGCCUCUUGCUGCUGGGCAAGCUGCAGACUCUCCUCCUUCCCCUCGCUCACCUCGGAGCUGUGCGCCAAAACCGGCACAGUGCCAUGGACAGUGCCCAGGGAGCAGGUGCAGCUGCCAGAGUUUGGGGUGAAACAUGCCUUUUGAACUCCAGGAAAUUUGCUGGGGAGAGUCAGCUCAGCCCAGCCCUUGCCUGUGGGCCUGUGACCAGCCAUUGCAUAGGCAGGGCGUGUCCCCAGCGGGCAACAGUGAGGAGCCCAGCAGACUAGGGGAGACUGAGGGGAAGGGGCAGCGCAGCAACGAAACUCCCUUCCCGUGGCUUCUGCCGAGGCCAGAAAGGACCUGGUCAGCACCCGCCGUUUCAAAAGUAAGUUAACUACGAAACACUGGGUAUUCGUGCUAAAGAGUCCUCCGUCUGAUGAGCAGCAGGAAAGAAUCUUAGGUGACAGAGCACAGGCGCUCAUGAGGUCGGUCAGGGAGGAAAGCGGCAGGAGGCCCUGCUCCAGGGUCAGUGAGGCUGGCACCUGGUCGUGCUGUGCCCACCGCUGCACGCUGCGCCUUGUGGGGGUUAGGCAGUUCUUAGCCCAAAAAGAAAGAAAACACAACCAGGAGGAGAGUGGCGGGAGAACGGCAGGCCUAGUUCCGACAAAGAGCAGGGGAUGAGCAGGCCCAGGGUAGCCGCAGGCCAGGGCCGUGUCCCAGGGGGAGGAGACGCGGCUCCCGUCUCUCCUCACCGCGCUCGCACGGUCACUCACUGUCUUCCCUGGCCCGGGUUGGCCCCAGGCCCUUCUCACAAAGCCUCACCCCGGCCCUUUUUAAACUUCGGCUGAGGGUCCUGCCAAGCCACUGACCAAGACCUAUUGCGAUCUUCCUGCCUCGGCCUCCAGAGCACUGGGGUCAGAGGCAGGUGCAGCGCGGCCUGGCUUCUCGUUUGCUCUUCACAAACCGUUUCUUAGUCCGUCUCCUGCGUUCACACACGCUACCUGGUCGGGAGGCUCUGGCAGGCGGGCCUUGGCGAUCGCCUCUUUGCGCAGAUGAGGAAAUCACCUGGACCCCAUGUCCUGUCCUGCAGAGAGAUUCCUGGCCGCCUUCCUGUCCCUCCUCAGGAGUCUCCAGGGGGCCGGGGACAGCACGGGAAGCCAGGCUGCUGUAGGGGCACCGCGGGAAGUGACUCACCGGAAAGCACCGUGUGGGUGUCCACAUGGACGGGCGCCUUUGCGGGGAAUGUGGUGUGGCAGGGCCUGCAUCCACUCGGAGUCGCUGAGCAGCCAUCAGGCCGUGAGUGCCGGUGCUUGGUACUGUGUGUAAGUGGUAAUUAGCUGGAGUGGUACCUGUCGAGCAUGCCCGAUUUUCAGGGCCUGUGAAAUCCGUGUAAUAAGAGGUGACACCCAGAAAUACCGGACGCAGGGAGGAGGCUGUGUGGCCUGGAGUGGAAGGGUGUGACUGCCCACGGGGUCAGCGGAGCAGGUGAGCUAAGAUCUGGCCUUUCUAGCACCAGAGCAAAAGGAGACAGAAUCCAGACAGACGUUCAGAAGCCACCUCGUCACAGCGCGCCCAUCUGGAUGUUUCUGCUCCUCAGAGGCCUUUCCCAAGAAUCUUGUUGGGACCCUGGCUGUACUCUUCGCCUCCUGUGCGUUCCUUUUCCCUUUGUUUUUUCUUCUUUUUGCACUCAUAAAAGCAGUAAUUCUAUAGAGUAGGUGUGACGGCACACGCCUAUAAUCCCAGCACUCUGGAGGCUGAGGCAGGAGGAUCGCCAUGAGUUUGUGGCCGGCUCGGUCCAUGAUCAUCCUGCUCUACCUAGUGAGACCCUGUCUCAAAAACAGAAAGGAGGAAAUAGAGCCUCUGGAGCAUUCGCUUUGGAGUCAACGAGAGCACAGCGCGUCCGGCUGCCUCUCCACUCCUCACCCACUCGCUCCCCUUUGCCGUGCCUGCGUGUCUCCUGAGGUGUCUACACGUCACCUGCAGGUCAGGACCGUCCCUCGGCAGGGAUGAGGCCCGAGGCUUUCUGUCCUGCCUCCAGGAGUUCCAGGGAAGGGCGGCAGCCCAGAGGCCUGCCCAGGCGCUCCAGUCUUGGGAACAGGACGCAGCCAGGGCCCAGCUGUUCACUACCCCCCCAGUCACUUUGGGGUCACCCACAGUAAUGACAGAGUAGCCGGUGCCGCUGGAAAAUUCCAGCUCUGCUACCACAAGUCAAUUUCUUAUUUGUCAGUUUAUUGUGGCGAGUGGGAUUUUUUUGUUGUUGUUUCCAAAUAGAAACAGCUGAACUUUAUUUGAAGUGUUUUUCUUUUAUUCUUUUUUGAUCUGUGUUUUGAUCGGUUGCUCUUGAUGUGGGUGCAUGUGUGUGUGUAUGUGUGUGUGUGUGUGUGUGUGUGUGUGUGUGUGUGUGUGUAUAUUAUUGGGGACACAGUGGGACAGAGAUAGAGUCUAAACUAAGUUGUUUGGUAUUAUUUCUUUUUUUCUUCCUUUUUUUUUUCAUUGAAAAACCUCAAUUGAAAGAAACCAACACUCUCUUACAUAGAGAAAGCUAGUUUAUAGAAAUAAUAAACAGUGUUUUCCCAAUAAUCCUGUGGCCCAUCACACCCCGAUUCCAGUGCACCGUCUUCUUCACUUCCGGGGCCCUCGCCAGCCCCUGGAAGGAUGCGCUGCUUGGGCUGUGGAUGGGACCUCCCCCGGCACAGCGACUGGGAGCCAUUGCUGAAGUGCGCCUCGAGGCUUCUCGCCCCUGCGCGCGUGCGUACGCUGUGGUGGUGGCUGAGCCUUAGGAGAAGGGUCAGCUUCAUCCGCGACUGCACUGUGGGGCAGUGGUGGGAAGGCAGUGGUGACAUCGCAGAACACACUGGAGAGUCCAGACACCGUCACACACGCACCUGGACCUGGACACACGCAUGUUUCUUUACCGAGAGACACACAUGCACACGCAUGUGUACCCUGGGAAGACGGCACACAGCGCUGCGAUGAGGAAGCAAGGACGAUGCGGGGAUUCCCUGGGGGCAGCCAGCGGUUCCUGGACAGAACACAGUGCGUGACUGGGGCACUGGCCAGACGGCCGGAUCUGAUGACCGCUUGUGUGGUAAAUGUGUGGGACAGAGAACUCAUCCGUGAUAUAUUAAGAACCCCGUGGAACAACAAAGAAAGGGAAAUAGCUCACCUAGAAUGAGCAAAGGGCUGUCCUGCCAUCCCGCAGGACAGGAGCUCCAGGGGGGCCACUCCCCGUCAUCUGUCACCAGGGCCUACAGUGCACGCAGGGCCCCAGCCCAGGCAGUGGGAAUACGCCUGCGCUGGGGUGGUGGUGGGCAUAUGCUCUCUAGGACAGACGUCAGCCGCCCUGGGAGCCAGCGUCCCCCCAGGGGAAACCUGGACACGUGUUUGUCCUUCAGAAGACGCAUGCCGGAAUCUCCACAGUAGCGCCUCGAAGCGCAGGUGACCCAGGCGGUUCCCAGUAGCCUGGUAGAGAGUAAACUGGGUGUCUCUGGCGAGCUGGCUCUCCAAUUCCGUUUCCUGGAGUUUUGGAGACACAUGGAAGUCACACGUGGAAGGGGAAGCAGGACAGUGCUGCUCUGGGUGGAAGGGUGAAUGCGGUUAGGGUGGGGUGCACAGGGCCUUCCUUCUGGGGUGCUGGCUGGUCUAGGUCUCCGUGCGGGGGUCCUGUGGGUGUGUGCAUGGGAAGGACGCCUCGGUGUAGACGCUGCACCGUGUUUAAAAUUCCUCCCUGGUGCGCUGGGUGCUCCCCGUGUGCCCAGGCCUGCGCUCAGCCUCUCCUACCUUCUCCUGCAGUUUUUGUAGCAGUAGUUUGCUGGGAGCAAGUCCUCCAUGUCACAGAUGAAGAAGCUGAAGCUUGGAGAGGCGACCUGGGUGGUCCACUCUCCCCACUCACACGUGCUGGGGCUGGGGUACAAGCCCAGGGUCGUGUGGCCCUGAGCGCGAGCCAUCGUCCUGGUGCAGACGUCUAGGCUUCCACCUGGGCCUGUCAUCCUCUUGCCAUGCCGUGUUCCCCUUGAGUCCCUUCCUGAGAGACAGGUGGGCGGUGGGGGCAUCCAUGGCAUGUGCAGACUUGAUUCCCGCCUGCCGAGGCUCCAGCACGCACACAGUGGCCAACUCAGUGACCCGCACUGCCCUGUUCUGACCCAGAUGGUAAUUGAGGGCAGUCUGAGUAUGGAGAAUGGAGAGGCAGAGUGGGUCUUUGUCCACUCUGUCUGCCCUCCAGACUGACUCCUGUUUGUCUCUCGGGGUUUUCCUACACCCCGCUUCCCUCGGUGUGGCAGGGUGGGUUUAGUUGUUGCUGAGCAUGCCAUGAACAAUUCCUACCAAAUACCUACACGGGUCUCUUUUCUCUUUGGGAAAGCCCAUCCCCCAUGUUGAUGUGCACCCCCCACGUGGACGCCAUGGACCCAGAGGACAGGCACCAAAAUGGGCUCCAAAGCCCCCUUUUUCUGUAGUCCCGUAACAGUAAGAUGCAAGAGACCUGGGCGGCCUGUGUGCUUCCUCCCAGCUCACAGAACCCCAGCGUGGGGGUGCCGGACAGCAGUGCCGCGUCUUGGGGAAUGCAGGAAGGUUAGAGUGAGACACUGUUCCUUCUGGGCUCCUCCUGAGGGGCCCCCCGUGCAGGCUGCCCGCCAGCACAGCGGGUGCUGCUCAGGGAAGCACCUUAAACACCCGCCAUGGCCCGAUGGCCAGGCCAGUGUGGCCUAAAGGACACCGAGGGCUGCACCCAGGGAGGCCCCCACUGUCCGUGGGAUCAUGAAGGAGCCCUGCUCUGAGGAUCCCUGCGUCUGGUCUGACGAGACCCAGGAUGGUUUCGGGCCAGCCUCUUGGCCUGGGCCAGGCUGGGUUCUUCGGCUUCUCUGCAUCAGCUGCUGGUGGUACGCUGAUAAACACUCAGUGUUUUUUUAGUUGCUGUUGAGCCAGCGUGAACUAAAAACUAGGAAAAUGUGGUAGUGCUGUUUUGCAUUAAAACCCUAAAUGUCUAAGGAAUUAGUUUUUUCUAAGAUUGAGUCUCUUUUGCCCAGCUGCUAUGAUUGGAGAUCAAGUGUAAACCAGAUCUUCUGCCCUCAGAAAGCAAACAAGUGCCCACAGAGGGGGCGGCUCCUGGGGCAUCCGGGAAGGGGUGAGCGGGCAGCGGCCUGGGGCAGGGCGGGGGGGGGGGCGGGCACAGCCCAAGCCCACUGCUGGGCUGCAGGAGCAUCGCUGUUAGUGGCCCACAGAGGGAGGCCAAGGAAGGCCUGUUUCUCACGGCUUCCCUGGUAUCCUAGCAACGGCAGCCAAGGCAGGAGCUCCAAGCCAGGAGCCGGGUCUGCUGGGAUGCGUGUUCUGUCCCGGCUUGUCCUCUUUGGCUGUUCUGGCAUACAGCCAGGCUGGUUGGGGUGAGAGUGUGGAAUGAAUGGUUCUGGUUGUGUGCUUUCCACUUUGUCUCUGUGGCUUGUAGUUUGUGCUCCUCUUUCCUGCACCCCUAGAGUCAUGUGAGGGGCACUGCUUUGUUGGGUGGUGCAUCCUUUGGUCUUGUUGCCUGGCUGAGUUGAUUUGCUGUCUCCCGCUGUUUGCUCGGCUUUCUGUGCUCCAGAGCGUGGACUUGCAGGCUGCUUCUCACACGGUCAGGAUGCCAGUCUGGUGGGGGUGGGGAAGGGAACCGUGCUGGGCCUGCAGGUACCAGCAUCACCCUCACUCUCCCCGUCCCACUGCUGGCACAGGGCACAGCUGCCCUCCAGCAGAGUGGGACUGAAGCUUGCGUGGCUCUGCCGCUGUCAUUCAGCUGGUGGCGUUGAGAUGAGCCUGUGUCAUCUUAGGCCUCUUUCUCAGUGGUUCCUAUCACAUGCUGGAUCUGCCUGUUGGAGCUAAGCGCAGGUCCUUCACUUGCACCUCACUCCUAACAACUGCACAGUCUGAGCUUAGGGGAAAUCUCCUGCAAACCCCCACCUGAAGCGUUUCGCUUGUUCACUGGCCUGCGAACGUAAUUUGAAAAUUUUCAGAACCGUUUCCUCAUAUAGUCCUUUACAGGGCAGGGGCCCUGCAGGCCUCCGGUGCACUGUGCUGCAGAGAGCUCAGCAUAGGAGAAAGCACUUGUUAUUCUUAAUUUACGUCAAAAGUGUCACACUUGACCUAGACUGGGCCAAAGAGUGAGCAGAGAGCAGCUCCAAGUUGACUCCUGGCCCCUUGGCAUGCACUGAUUCCAGCGCCAUGCACAGCCCUGUCGCAGGUGCUGGAUGGUUAUGUCACGCCUGUCCCCAAAUGGCUUUACCAAGCUGCGUCACUGGCCACAGUCAUCACACUUUACUGAGUCACCAGCGGUUCGAAAUGACAACCAUUCUGCAGCAUGAGAUUUACUUUCACAGGCCUGCAGGUUACAGCCGCAGAGCUGGCCGAGUGUGAACCGGUGGCCAGGGCUUUCAGCGUGCAUGCGCGCAGGCACUGCACCACUAAGGCACGCCCCGCCCCGCCCUGCCCCAGCCUCUGUUCAAAGAGUUAAUUAUUUGACCAUUUUUCUUUUUGCAUUAGCUUUCUUUAUUAAGAACAGUAGUGACUUUUGAAUAUAGUUAGGAAAUUAAUAAGUAACUUUUUAAAUUGUAAUGCAUAACACCAUCGGCACACAAUAUACAUUUUGUAAAUUGAGUAGGUAAGUUAGGCGUGGAGAACUGUACUGCAGGUAACCAUGACUAAUUGUUAGAAUUUUUGCCUAAAAUAACCUCGGGCAGAUAUAGCAGUGACACAGGGGUCUGUCAAAACAUCGGUGUGCCACAACCAUUCUGAGUGUUAAAUACCUCCGCUGUUUUAUUUCAAGCCAUUCUUAUAGGAAGUAUUAUGUUCUUUGUACUCGUUGUUUUUAUGGGACCAACACACUUUUUAAAAAGAAAUCUGUUGGGUGCGUUGGAUCCUGUGGGGGUCUGUGAUCUCUGGGCCUUCAUAAGCAACUCUCGUUAAUUUCGUGCGCACACAUGAAAGAAGCCACACGCUAAGCCAUGGGCCACUGAGCUGGGGAAGACAUCAGCCUUGGUCAGGGUCCAGGUGGCGGAGAAUUCAUUGUCCAGUGCCUCCAAGACAGUGCUCCGCGGGUGGGGGAAAGCGGCCUCGGGGGCCUCACUGUGACAGCCGCCUGAGGUGUGUGUCUCUGCACCCCGAGGAACUUGGAGGAAGCUGGUGCUGCCUUCUGCCUGGAGUUGACUGUUCCCUACGGAGCACGGCCUGGUGACGGGGAGAGGGCUAGCUUCUGGGGGCUUGGGCCUUGUCCUGUUUCAGUCACACGAGCUCCUUUCAUUAGAUAAUAGUUUGACAUCUGGAAGGUGCCAGCUGGCUUUCCAGUGUGCUCACCUUUCCCAUCUCUGGGUGGAGACAAGAAACCCGGCCCAUGGCGACAGGCAUUGCCAAUGUGACCUGCAAGCCCGGCCAGUGCCCAGAGGCCAGCCUGCCCACGGCGGCAGUUGGUUUUGGGGAUGAAUGAGCAGCUAGGCUAAAACAAAAAAAUAGAUGUCGAAAAGCUAUUCAGAGAACUGAGGGAAAGUGUGAAGAAAGGCAAGAAGGUAAUGUAUGGACAAAAGGAAAUGCCUGUCAAGAGAUCAGAAACCCGGAAGGAACCCUGGAGCCGGAGGGUGCAACACCUAGAAAAAACCGACUAGAGAAUUAAGUGCGGGGGGAGCCAGCACGAGAAGCGGGAAUCCCCAGUCUGAGGAAGACCAAGGGAACUCACGGACAGUGGCCGGAGUAUAAGUUCUCUAGGAACCGUGAGGCCAGCCCACGUGGAGUCCAGGAGGGGGAGGAGAAAGAAGCAGGUAGAAUAAAUAAAACAUGGCUGGAAGCUCCCCGAGAUUUAUAGGAAGGACUUGAGUGUAAAUGUUUAGAUGAGCUCUGGGUUAGAUGAGCUCAGAGGGACCCACACGGAGUGUGUAAAUCUGUUUCCUCUGGCUGGGACCAAACGCCUGACAGACAGCUUAAGGGAGGAGAGGCCACCGUUCCAGAGGUUUCAGGCCACAGGCUGCUUCAAGGUGGAGCUUCGCGGUGGCAGGGCCUGGGGGAAAGCAGCUCGCCUCAUGGCAACCAGGAAGGAGCGAGCACGGACAGGCCAGGGCUAGAUAGAGUCCCUAGGUCCGUCCCUGCGCACCCAGACACACCCGGAAAUGGGCCUUACGCAUCUUCCAGGUGUCCAUUAGGCCUGUCAAGUUGACAGCCAAGAUGACACUUUAUCAAGCCUCUGAAAGACAGAGAUCAGUUAAGACCACAUAGAUUUCUUAGCAGAAAGGAACUUUGUAGAGCAGUAAGCAGUGGGCUGCUGUGUUCAAGAUGCUAAAAGAGAAAAAAAAAGUCAUCUUUAUCUAUCCCAGCAGUCCUUCAAAUGCGAGGGAAAAAUUAAGAUUUUCACAGAUAAAAGCUGAAGGAAUUUCUUUCUGCUGCCCUGACCAGAAAGAAAUGCUCAGGGGACCACUGCUGGCUGAAAUGCCAGCUCACUAGACUGGGACUUGCAAGGCCUAUGAAGAAGUAAAUAUCUCAGUGAUUGCGAUAUAUGGGCAGUUUGUAAAACAGCUCCAACUGUCAGAUGGUUCUGACUCCACAUUUUGUUUUCUACCUAAUUUAAGAGAUGAACGCGUUUAAAAUAAUUAACUGUCUGGUAGAACACGGUGUAUAAUUUUUUGACAUUAAGAAACAGGAGGGAAGAAGAACCCAGAAGGAUUGGGGAGAAGCUGUGGAGGAGUAGCCGUAGAGUUCUUAGCAGUCACUGAAGGUACACCGACACAAAUUCAACCUUAGAGCACUAAGGGGAUCCCCAUGAAGCCACAAGAGAGAAUCCCAUACAAAAGAAAUGGGCAAUCAGUUUAAACCUUUAUUUAAAAAAUAGGUCAAAAUGUCAGCUAAACGUGAAAGAACACGCUGAUGCAGGAGGUACGGUGGGGUGCUGCCGCACGGGAGGCGGAUGGAGGGCGACAGAGGCUGGCCCUUUCCAGGGCCUGAGCCGCCGCCGCGGAAGAACACGGUCCAGCAACAGGCUCGGCUUACACUCCGAGACGCCCUAUGCAGGUGACACUUAAAAGGUAACACAGGCUAGCGAUGACCAGUGAGGGCUGGGAUGGCACGGUCAGACAGACACUCCUGGCGUCAAGGGAGGCUGUGGUGCAUGGACAUAAAGGGCUCCACACGGCAGAAAGACGUAAGACACCUGCACGACAGCCCAGAAUCCGUGGGCAAACACAGUUUGACGACAGUGGGUAGAGAUUUUGAUACCCCAGUCUCAAUAGUGGACACAACAAGCAGAGGACACAGACAGUGCCGUCAGCCAGCCUCGCCCGCAGGGCUGCCAGAGCACGCUGCCCGCGCCCCCGCCAGCAGCUGACACCUCAGGAGUGCAGGGAUGUUCUCCAGGACAGAGGGUGUGGCAGGCUGCCAGUCUCAGUAGAUUUUAAAAGACAGACAUCCAUGUGUCUUCUGUAUAAAUGAAGACAAAUCAGCAGAACUGGAAAACUGGGAAAAAAAAGUUGAAAUUAAACAACUUUAUUAAUAGGUUGAAGAAAUCAUGGGGAAAUUUGAAAAUAUUUCUAAACUAAUGAAAAAUACAAGCACAACUUACUAAAACUAAAGGGCCACAGCACAGCCCGGGCUAAGUGAGGAAAUUAUAGCUAUAAAGAUGUAAGAUAACAAGCAAGAGGGAGGUCAGAUCAGUGUCCUUACAACUUAAGGAACCAGGAAGAAGCUAGCGGAGGCAGGAAGCAGGAUCAGCACGGGGAUAAAAUGAGAUACGAGAAAAUACACACCGAGUGAACAGUGUUAAAAAUGGAAAACGGAAAAAUAGUGGAGAAAAGCUUGGAACCGAAAGCAGGUUCUUUUAGAAGAUCAGCAAAUAGACCAAUAAGGAAAGAAGGCUCAGAAGCGGAAUGGGGGCCGUUGCACAGACCUGACUCCACGGCACAGGGACGGUUGUGAGGUGCCGUGCACGCUCGCACACUAACACACUGGCUGAGCAGGGUGACGUGAAUAAGUUCCCGGGAAGCGGAAAGUUGGGAACCUAAAUUGUGAGGCGAUAGAGGUUCCGGGUACACUUGUAACCAGGAGCCUGUGCAUCAGCCAUAGAAACCUUCGCUCAGAGAAAACCCUGCACAUAGAAGGUGAGUUCUACCAAAAUUUAAAGAACUGACCAACCCUCAGACUUGCCCACAACAUUGAAAAGGGGGCACGUCCCAACUCAUUCUGUGAGAUCAGUGUUAGCCCACUAAGAAAGCCAGAUAAAACGCUGCGAAUGGAAAAUACCGACCGCGUCCUUUUGAGUACUGAUGCAGAAAUUCUCAGCAGAUACUAGCAGACUGAAUCCAGCUGCCUGUUAGAGAGCAUUCGCGUGACCAAGUAGGUUUAUUCCUGGAACGCAAGCACGGUUCACCGUGCUGACCUCAUGAAGAGAGUGAAGGAAACAAGGUCGCACAGUUGAUUAUCUGGAGACAGAGUCAGCGUCUGACAGAACCCCACGUCCUUUUGUGAGUCCAAGUAGUCAGUAAACUAGCAGUAAUGCAGCGCUCACAAUAACAGCCAGACUGAAGGAGCCCCAGGGCAGCGCAGUCGGCAGUGAAAAGCUGCCCCUUCGCGCCUCCUGCCUGCGACUCAGUGCUGAGGGUCUGGCCACAGCUAUGAGGGAAGAAAACGUAAAAGCGUCCGGACUGAAAGGAAGGAGGAAAGCUCCUCUGUGAACAGACGGUGGAUGAGCAGGAGCCCGCCAACAGCCCACAGCAGCACUGCAGUGUACUCAGCGACGUCCCGAGACACAGCCAGCGCACAGAAAUCAGGCACAUCUCUGUACACUAACGUGUACAGAGCAAUCUGAGAGGAAAUGUCAUAAUUCCUUUCACAGGUGCAUCAAAAAUAAUGAUAUACUUAGGAACUUGUUUUAACUUGUACAAUGAAAGCUUCAAACUCAUUAAAACAGACAUAAAUGCAGGUGCAUCCCAUGAUCAUAGAUUGGAAGUUUUUCUGUUGUUGUUGUCGUUUUGUUUUUUAGUUUUAUGAGCCAGAGUCUUACUAUGUAAUUCAGAAUGGCCUUGAAAAAACUAUGUAGCCCAGGCUGGCCUCAAACUUAAGGUGAUGCCCGCCUCAGCCUCUCAAGUGCUGGGGUUACAGGUGUGCACCACCACACCCGGCGGAUGGGAAGUCUUAUGCAAGUUGGUGAGGUGUCAGCGCUUGCCAAGCACUGUGCAGACUCACUGCUUCCAUGUCGGUACCCUGGUGAUGUUUUUGUGUAAGUUGGAACAAGCCCUCUUGAAAUUUGUAUGGAAUCUCAAGAGAUAUCAAAUGGUCAGAACAAUAUGUAAGAAGAAAAGAAAAGAAAAAGCUUUUGCAACUCAGGACAAAGCUAUGAAGAAUGAAAACAAUUGGUACUGCCAUAAAACAGACCAGUAGGGUAGCAAAUAGAGCCCGCAGAUAAACCAUGCUACAUGGCUUAAACAGGGCUGCAGAGUCAUUCGGUUGGAAAGCAGGUUUCCUAACACAUGGUGCUGGGAAAAUGGAAAAGCCAUAUUUAGACAGCGAAAUUGGAUCAUUGUCUAAUGCUGUGCAUGAAAGUUAAAAAGUAGAACUUAGACCUGAGCAUAACAGAGUGUAAACUCAGAAUGAAUUAGGAUUGGCAAUGACUUCUUGGUUUUUGACACCAAAAGCAAAGGAUGUAAAAAGGAACUUAAAAAUUGGCCUGCAUGAGAAUUUGUUUUCUGCAUCAAAAGAAAAUAUAAAUGGUAAAAAGGCUAACCCUGGAGUGGGAGAGAAUGCCUACAAGUCAUGUAUCUGUUAGGGAAUUAACAAUCAGAAUAAACUUUUGUUUUUUGGUACUGGGGAUCACUUGCCAAGCAGGUGCUUUGCCGCUGAGCUAAAUCCCCAGCCAGUAAACAAAGAUUUCUUUCAAGGAUGCUACACAAAUGGCCGAUAGGCACGUGUUUCUGCUCCUUAGGGCAGUGUACAUGGACACUGUGGCUAGAUACCACCCACUGAGGGUGGCCUUGGUUUUAAAGUCUAACGUUUGGCAACAAGGUGGCAAAGUUGUGACCCUUGUGCACCAUCGGUAGGAAUGAGUGUGUCACCACCAAGAAGCACAGGAUUUUCACAGAAAGUUAAAACUCUAGAAUGAGUAUGCAGCCCAGCCAUUCUGCUGCCAGAUACAUGCGCUAAAAUGUUGAAAGCAGGGCCUCAAAGGGACAGUUAAACACCUGUGUUCAUGGCAGCGCUGAGCACUGUAGCGAGGCGGGGAGCACCCACGUGUGCAGGAAGGAAAGAAGGCAGGCAGACUGAGGUCUGGCCGAGCGGUGGAACAUUACGCAGCCUUUAAAAGGAAGCCAGUUUCUAACGUGCUGCAGUGUGGGUGAACCAAGUACAUUAGGUGGAGAGCGGUAAGCCACUUGCAGAGACAGGCCCCACGUGGGCCUACUUAGCAGGGAAACUUAGAGACGUUGAAAUCAUAGAAGUAGGAAGCAGAAAGGUGCUUAGGAGAUUAAAAGGGCUGUGCAGCCAGGCGGUGGUGAAGCAUACGUAAUACCACGGGCACAUUCACCAGCCUGGAUGGACUUAGACGUGGUUGUGUGCUGUAUUUUGUUGUUUGUUUGUUGUGGCACCGGCACGUGCUGGGCAAGUGCUGUAAUCCUCAGCUACACUCCAGCCCUUUGUUACUUCAUUUUGAGACGGAGCUGAGAUGUUCCAGCAGGCCUGGACCUUUCCACAGCCUGCCUCGGCCUCCCUGGGAUCUCGGGUGACAGGCUUACACCACCAUGCCCAGUGAGUACGCAUUUUACUACAGUACAAAUGUGGAGGAGAAAAGAAGAUUUGGCUUCGUGUCCUUUAAACGGAUGCCUGCGUCGUGGUCCCAUCCUGGAGACACGGGUGUGUGCUGAGCAGCUUCGGCUGUCGUCCAGACCUAAAUCCCCUGCCGUGGUCUCAGUGUAGGAGCGAGGGGCGUGGCUGGCAGAGCAGAGGAAGAGCCUGUUAAAGUGUUAACAUUUCUGUGAUUGAAUGGACCCCCCGCCCAAGGAAAAAUGUGGGUACUUUGGAAAUCCUAAAAGAGUCUGAGUGGCCCAGGAAGGGUCCUAAGAAGGGUCCAUGAAGUUCUAAAACUUCAUGCCUUACCGGGGCCAUGGUGGCGUUGACUUCAUCUCCAGUGGCUUUGAUUUCCAGGGACUGCUGGACUCUGCAUGUCCUAGAUGUCCGGCCAGGCUGUCCACCUGCAGAGAUGAAGGCAGGAGUACGCCUCCUGGGAGAGGAUGGUCCGCAGGUGUCGCCCUCCCUCUACGUGGGAAGAGAGCAGGCUGCCUGCACGCUGGUGUCACUCUUCCUGCUGGAAGCAGAAGCAGACGGCACCGGUGACGGCCAGUGCAGCCCCUGGGGCUCUUUUGUCUGCACGUGUGCACAUGUGCUUGUUCAGGUCUGGGGCGCAGGGUGGGGGGGCCGCAGGGGACAGGAAAGAGCGGCUGUGCACAGCCUGGUGACUCACAGCGUGGACCACCCAGGGGCCAGUGACUUGGGCAGGGACAGUGUGCCAGCUGCCCGGCCCUGGAGCAUGCAGGGCAGGCGCGCCCCGGGCCCGUCGGCGCCUGCCGCAUCUUGUCGCUCAUGCAAAUCGCCAGAAGCUCCCCGCUGUCUGUGUUCCCCACUUAAUCCCCGCUCAGAGCUGCUUUUGACCCUUGGCUAUACUUUCUUAAUUCCCAAAUGUCAUUAGUGGGAGAGUAACACUAAUCUCCUGAAAAUUAAAUGGGAUUACGUCCAUUUCCAACUCCCAAUUUCCGUUUCAUUUUCAACUGCUAGAUAGUAGCUUGUCCCACAGGUGCUCAGCGGAGCUGGACCUUGAUGGCCGGUGGCUCAGGGUUGGUUUUGUCACACAAGAUUUUCUCGGAGAGAAAGGAACCUGUUUCAGGGUCACACAGCCAGCCGUUGUCUUCCUUGAUUUCUAGGUGGUGUAGAAACCGGCAGGCAGGGUGACUGCAGGACUGUCCUGAGUCCCCUCCCAGAGCCGGGUAUCGGCUGCUGUGAGCAGGAAGCCAGGCGGACCCACGCUGCCUGUGUCCUGGCUCGGCAUCCCGCUGUGCGUGGUGUGACCCUGGACAGGCCCCUCGGCGUCUUUGUGUCCACUUUGCUCUCUCAUUUGUAGGGUGAGGCUUUUGUGAAUACUCUGUGCCAGUACGUGGUCCCAGGGUACCACCUCUGCUGUUCUGGUUCUGUCUGUGAUACAGAGAAUCGGGCCCAGAGCUCUCAUUCUGAGCUACACCCCAACCUCUUUUGUCUCUUUUAUUUGCGGCGGAGGCUCGCCAGGUUUCUCGAGCUGGGCUUGGACUUGCUGUCCUCCUCCUCAGCCGUGCAGGGUGCUGAGGUGAAAGUCGAGCUCUGCCACGCGCCGCUUUCUGUUGUCCUUGAUGCUUUCCGGUCAUUGCUGGUGGCCAUCAGCUGAUGGGCAUAUUGUUAGUUCCCAUGGAGGGUGCACUGCAAACCAGGACCUGCGCUGAGAGUGGCCAGGGCUGCAGCCGGCCGGCUUGUUUGAUGACUGCUUUCAGAAGCCACAUCCUUUAGAAGCACCCUCCUCACCUGGCCUCGGGCGUCCCAAGUCUCUGCGGUGUCUCCCCUGCCUUCCACUCUAAAUAGCUCUGCCGUCAGGCGUAAAGCCCAGCCACUGGGUCACUUAGCUGUGCUCAUCUGUGCUAGAAGCCUGCUGUCCCCAAAUGGUCCCUGCAAUAAGCACAAAGGCCAACCCAUCAUCAUGCUAUGUAUCCAUAGGCAGUUACCAAGCGGUGUGCCCCGAGCCAGGUGUCACAGAGAACCAGGGCAGCUCUCCUUACCAGUAGGCAGAACCAGGCACCAAGGGGCACAGCAUUAAAUUGUUCCUGCCCCUUUUGUGCCAGGAUCAAUGGUGACAGAUAAGGCAGGAGUCCAAGGUGGUGCAGUGCCUCAGAGUGACGAGUGGCACUAGGUGGGCAUAGCAGAGGCUGCCCCACCCCAGUGGGCUCCUCUCAAGUGGGUAUUAAGCCUCUGCCGUGUGCCAUGCAGUGUUGGUACUCUGCUGACUGUGCCACGUGCAGCGGCCCCGGAGAGUCUCAGAUGUGACACUGGAGUGUGCCCAAACCCACAUGGAACCGCUUGGCGGCCGGGUGCUGUCCUGUGGUGUGGGUCAGAAGUGGUGUGGGUUGUUUCUGAUCCUGAAACCUGCAGUGUGAUAGGGAUGCCAGACCUUGACUGCAUCCCCCGAGAGCGGCUUUGAAGUGGGUGGUGAAGUGACUCCAGCACACGCAAUAGGCAAAUUAGUUUCAGCACCAUGGGACCCUGUGCCACCAAAGUCCGUGGGUGCGAGGUGCCUGUGAGCGCGCCUCCCGGCCGCAGAGGCUUUGGAGUGGGCAGCCUGUGUGGCGAUUGUGCUGGCCAAGCGAACCCUGUUGUCUUCCAUGACCUCACUGCCAGCUGGGCCGCUGCACCUUCACACCCUGGGCCCUGGGCACCGCACAUCUGGGGUUGGGGUGGGCGGGAGCCUGUGGGGGGCAUUGGCGAGGUUCUCCGGGAACUGGAGCCUCAAAAGGGGUCGGGUGGGGCAUCGGAGCUCUCCCUCCAGAGGUCAUUUUAGGGGAAGAGGGUGUGUGACAAGGACAGCAGAUGCAACCUUCCCCCCCCAGUGCUGUGACAGAGGUGUCCCCUCUCCAGGGGCAGCUGUGUAGUCCACUGUUGUGUCCAGGCCCCUCUGUUCCUCUGGGUUCUUGGAGAACACGCACAUUACCUGUCUCUACCUGGCCUGGGAGGCGCAGCCUCGUGCCGAGCAGCAGGAAUUCUGGGGGCCGAGCCUUGCCCCCUUCUGCACGCCUGUGCUCGGCCCAAGCGCAGUGCUGUGUUCUGCCUGUGGUGACCUGUCAUUUACAAAGCUGGCAGUUAAUCGCCUCCGCAUCCACCCUGCUGAGCUUCCUUAGCACUGACAGGGCUGGCAGGCAGCCAGGAGUGGGCAGGUCGGAGGGCGCGCUCACACGUGGUCGUGGCCCUGAUUUUUCAUGUGCUGUGAGACACGUGGGCUGCAUGCAGCACUGUCCUUGAACACUCAAGGCACACGAGUUCCCCGGUGUUAAAAUACAAAGCAGGAAAUGAGCUCUCAAGGCGCAGGGCUUGUCCCCUGUCCCCAGGUGAUGAUGGUGGCAGAACUUAGAUAACCAGGAAGCACCUCCCGCGCCCAAGAAAGGGCUUCCUGUCCCACCACCACUAUGGCUUCUUGGCUACCCUCCUGCUGUGAGCCUUUCUGCACCCCCUGCACCCUGACUCACUCCCACUCUGAGGGAACGAGGGUCCCUGAGGGUCCCUCCUCCCUGAGCAGCCCUGGGCAGGCUCUUCUCCCAGUGGGCAGACCCUGUGCUUGGAGGGCAGCCAGGACUCCUCCCCUUGCUUUGGUCAGUGCCACCACUUUGCACGAUGGCAGUCGGCAUGUUGGGUUUUACUCCUGGAAGGCAUCUUCAGAACAGUGUAAACCUGAACCGCUACUUCCCGCUGAGACAGCCUGCAGGGUUACUAUGGUCAGAGGAGACCCUGCUCUCGCUGAGCUAUGGCAGAGGUGUUUACCAUUCACCUGUGCUUAGAAGAUGCCUCAAAGCCACGUGAGCAGCUGCCUGGCUUGGACAGGCCCAGGGAGCAGGCUUCCCCGAUGCCUGCCCGUCCAGACCAGCAUCCCGAGGGCCCCACCAUCCGGGAGGUCACACAGCAUCUUUGUCCUUUGGCUCCACGUGUUUGUUGUCUUAAGAGAGCUUUCAAACCUAUGUGCUGGAGGCAAACGUAAAUACGUGUCACCCAGAAGUGCCCACUUAUGUGGUGUGAAAAUACAUAUAGGUGUCUGUGUAGGGAAAGUAACAUGACCUUUUAACAGAUCAUCUUGUUUCAAAUGUUGUUUCAUCCUGAUGUUUCCAGCAGCUCGUGUGUGUAUUCAUUCGGCACGGGCCGCCGGGUGGUUCCCUGUUGCUGUCCGAGUCAGUGGCUUCCCGCAGGGACCACCGCUUGGUGCUCGGCUCUGACUGUGGCCCGGGCUCCUCACAGCCACACACUGCUGUCCUCGCCCCAGAGCGGACACGAGCGGUGUGCAGGUGACCAGGUCGGGCCGGCACUAACAGAAAUUUGCAGACGCUGAAAUUUGAAUUGCUUUCUUUCUGUGUGUCACAAAUGACUGUUGCCCUUUUGGUUUUUUCCAGUCAUUAAAAUGUGUAAGGAUUUAAAGAAAUACAGUGGUGCCUCCACAAUUCUGGGGAAAACAGCCAAGUCUGUGUUUGUCACCUGGUGGAGAGUUCACAGAGGAGACAGAUUUUGCUGUAUGUGUCUGUUCCCAAACUGAAUUGUUCACAAACAGAAGUAUUUGUGAACCAAGUUACUGCCAUAUGUGAAAGUAUUUUUGGUGCAUGCAACUGGCAUGUGGGGCCUGGUUCUCAGAGCCUCUCUGGUCGCCAUGGGCCUCCUCUGGUCAGCAGCAGACCCUGAGGCCGAGGGGAGACAUCGCCUCGAGUUAGACAAGCUCACUGUCACAGACAGUCCCGGCUCUGCCCUUUAACCCCGCUGCCUGCCCGUCAGCACUGCGCCUGGCCCAAGAUGCACCGGCCAGCUCUGCGCUGGCCGAGGAGUUUUCCCAGUUGUGCUGUGCGUCCCCUUUCUGCUCCACGGCCACGGCUCAGUCUGACCCCUGUGGCCACCACGUGGGUCCCCAUACACUGCUCGGGCACAGGGGUCUCAGCUGCUCCCUUCCUGGCUGCCGCAGUCCCUGGGACCCAGGUCACGACCCCAGGGGUUCUGCUGAGGCGUGGCCACCCGCGGAGCCCUCAGCACCCGUCGCAGGCUCUUUCGAGACAGCUUUGCAGUAGGCUUCUGCCUUCUCUGCAGUAGCUAUGGAAACGCUAGGAACCCUGUGUCCAGAGCCAAGCACACAAUGAAGCGCUUCAAGUGCUGGUGGGAUUAGAGACUUCGGGGAUGUUAGAUUUUCUCCCCCACUCUUUCAGGCUCGCUGUCUCUUUAGAGAGGGAACAAGGGAGCAGUGUGGAUAUGAACUGGGACCUGCGGAGAUCUCCGGCGUGACCCUGCAGACUGGACUAUCCAGGUCCUCGCCCACUGUCCGCUCCUAAUAAAGACCCCUGCAUAUUCA